UCGAGCUUUCGUUUGAAGUUU
This 21-nucleotide non-coding RNA is filed under the name Caenorhabditis elegans. The record is from RNAcentral. Lineage: Eukaryota; Metazoa; Nematoda; Chromadorea; Rhabditida; Rhabditidae.